This is a small nuclear RNA of Callithrix jacchus (white-tufted-ear marmoset), 103 nucleotides long. The record is from Ensembl. Lineage: Eukaryota; Metazoa; Chordata; Mammalia; Primates; Cebidae.
GUUCAGUUUGGCAACACAUAAUAAAUUGGGAAUGAUACAGAAAAGGUAAGCAUGGCCCCUGGGCAAGGAUGACAUGCAUAUUUACAAAAUGUUUCAUAUUUAA